RNAcentral lists this ribosomal RNA (430 nucleotides) under uncultured bacterium. Its description in RNAcentral is "bacterial SSU rRNA". It matches the Rfam family "Bacterial small subunit ribosomal RNA", at positions 29 to 507 of the family's 1533-position model. The record is from RNAcentral.
AACGAACGCUGGCGGCAGGCCUAACACAUGCAAGUCGAGCGCACCUUCGGGUGAGCGGCGGACGGGUUAGUAACGCGUGGGAACGUGCCCUUCUCUACGGAAUAGCCUCGGGAAACUGAGAGUAAUACCGUAUACGCCCUUCGGGGGAAAGAUUUAUCGGAGAAGGAUCGGCCCGCGUUGGAUUAGGUAGUUGGUGGGUAAUGGCCUACCAAGCCGACGAUCCAUAGCUGGUUUGAGAGGAUGAUCAGCAACACUGGGACUGAGACACGGCCCAGACUCCUACGGGAGGCAGCAGUGGGGAAUCUUAGACAAUGGGGGAAACCCUGAUCUAGCCAUGCCGCGUGAGUGACGAAGGCCCUAGGGUCGUAAAGCUCUUUCAGCUGUGAAGAUAAUGACGGUAGCAGCAGAAGAAACCCCGGCUAACUCCGUG